This 254-nucleotide ribosomal RNA is filed under the name uncultured bacterium. RNAcentral's name for it is "partial 16S ribosomal RNA". It matches the Rfam family "Bacterial small subunit ribosomal RNA", at positions 79 to 334 of the family's 1533-position model. The record is from RNAcentral.
CUUUCUUUGCUGGCGACCGGCGCACGGGUGAGUAACACGUAUCCAACCUGCCCUUUACUCGGGGAUAGCCUUUCGAAAGAAAGAUUAAUACCCGAUAGCAUAAUGAUUCCGCAUGGUUUCAUUAUUAAAGGAUUCCGGUAAAGGAUGGGGAUGCGUUCCAUUAGGUUGUUGGUGGGGUAACGGCCCACCAAGCCUUCGAUGGAUAGGGGCUCUGAGAGGAAGGUCCCCCACAUUGGAACUGAGACACGGUCCAA